RNAcentral lists this long non-coding RNA (1695 nucleotides) under Fukomys damarensis (Damara mole-rat). RNAcentral's name for it is "lncRNA (ENSFDAG00000027937.1)". The record is from RNAcentral. Lineage: Eukaryota; Metazoa; Chordata; Mammalia; Rodentia; Bathyergidae.
GAUAAAGCUGUAACGUAGAUGGAACUUCACUGGGAUGCAUUGUCUCAUCACUGAGCUGCUCGGUGAGUCACAAAGGCGAGGAGCAUCUCUCCAGAACAAUGGAGUAGAGUCCUACAUGCAUUUGAGGAAGGGCUCAAUGUCCUCUCAGGUUCAGCUUCUCUGCAGCCCAAAUUUAUUUCAGUUCAAAUAGGACAAAUCUUGAAGCCACAUAUCUUUCCUUUCUUCACCCCUCAUGCUGACCUUCAGAGAGACUCUGAAAUGGGUAAAGGCUCCAAGAUUAAGCUUGCAUGGGAGCAGCAGCCUCCUGCUCAUCAUCAUGAAGUUUGGCUCCAUGUCCACUUCCUUUGCUGGCCAGUGUAGAUUGCUACAGGUGGAGGUGUAUUGGGCACUGCGGCUUUGAAAACCCAGAAGUCACUCCAUGCCAGAUUCAGUGGGUAACGUAGAUGAGGACACACCAUAUUCAAAUUGCCAUAGACAUUCUGAAUCAUUGGAGGACAUAGAGGCAGCCAUAAAAAGACUCUCAAAGGAAGAGGACUUCCAGAACUGCUUCGGAUAAUGCCACGAAUGACGGGGUAAGUGUGUGGCUGCAAGGGAGAGUAUGCUGAGAGGACUUAAUGGCAGUGAAUCAAAUUUUAAAUUUUUUAAAUGUUAUUUAAAUACUCACUGUAUAUAUUAAUCACAGCUUGAACUUAUUUUUGCCAAAGGCAGCACUGAUUAAUGAUGGCCAAGGACUUUGUUUUCAAUUAUGGUGACUUUUUAAAACUAAUUGUAUAAAUAGUAGUGUUUACCUUCAUCUCUCUGAAUUGUUAAUUUUUAUAAAUAAGUGUCAUGAUUUAUUAACUACUGCCAGGUUUCAAUCGAUAGGACAUGACAAGAUAUGUAAGAUAAUGAACUUUAUCUUCAAGUGUGCGUUUAAUGAGUACAUCUCCCUGCUAUGCUUCUCAGUACCAUUAAACUCUGCGGCUUUAAUUUAUUCCAUGUACGGCCUGUUCCCCAACCCACCCUGUCCAGUGGUGAAGUGCAUUAAUGGAGUAUAAGACUCUAGUGCUCUAACUCUAAUCCUUACUCUUUUUCUUAACCUGGAGACUUCUCUAAGCCUCAAUUUCCCCAUCUCUAGACUGGAGAGUAUAGUCGCUGGCCUACUUAGCAAGGUACCCGGUGGCAACAAAGACAAAGCAGCUCAUGUUAAAGUCAUUACGGAGAAUUAUACAAAUGUUAUAUUUAAAUAUUAUUAUGCCCAAAAUUAAAGAGCAGAGAGCCUCUCUUUCCACCUCUCAGUUGUUCCCCUUUUAUCCCCUCAGCUCUGUGUUUACCUUGUGAGAAGCCUCCUUAAAAAUCAUAAAGGGAUGUUUGUGUGGAAGCCGGACCUCUGAAAAACUGCUAGAUCCCAAGCCAUGUUCAGCUAGCAAAAGCCACCCCUAUUCUAGGCUACCACCUUAUAGACAACUAGUGCUGCCCCAUUUCAUUCUGUGCCACGAUGGGAAAGCAAUUCUCCUGUCCCUGUGAGCACAUGCCCCUAAGCCAACCUUUGCAUUCAGCACCUUAUGGUCCUCAUCUACUAGGGCAGAAGUGGACAUGUGAGUCCCCUACAAUAUUAAACCUUGGAUUUUCAAAUAAUAUUGAAUAAUGGCUUUGUAUAAAGGUCAUUUGUUUUUAUCACUAAAGUAAACCUUUUUAUAGACAGUAAGUAAUAAU